GACGAACGCUGGCGGCGUGCUUAACACAUGCAAGUCGAACGGAAAGGCCCUGCUUUUGUGGGGUGCUCGAGUGGCGAACGGGUGAGUAACACGUGAGUAACCUGCCCUUGACUUUGGGAUAACUUCAGGAAACUGGGGCUAAUACCGGAUAGGAGCUCCUUCUGCAUGGUGGGGGUUGGAAAGUUUCGGCGGUUGGGGAUGGACUCGCGGCUUAUCAGCUUGUUGGUGGGGUAGUGGCUUACCAAGGCUUUGACGGGUAGCCGGCCUGAGAGGGUGACCGGCCACAUUGGGACUGAGAUACGGAGCAGACUCCUACGGGAGGCAGCAGUGGGGAAUAUUGCACAAUGGGCGGAAGCCUGAUGCAGCAACGCCGCGUGCGGGAUGACGGCCUUCGGGUUGUAAACCGCUUUCGCCUGUGACGAAGCGUGAGUGACGGUAAUGGGUAAAGAAGCACCGGCUAACUACG
RNAcentral lists this ribosomal RNA (466 nucleotides) under uncultured bacterium. RNAcentral describes it as "partial 16S ribosomal RNA". It matches the Rfam family "Bacterial small subunit ribosomal RNA", at positions 28 to 505 of the family's 1533-position model. The record is from RNAcentral.